This 604-nucleotide long non-coding RNA is filed under the name Equus caballus (horse). RNAcentral's name for it is "lncRNA (ENSECAG00000054142.1)". Lineage: Eukaryota; Metazoa; Chordata; Mammalia; Perissodactyla; Equidae. The record is from RNAcentral.
CGAUUUUCUAAUUCUACCACUGCUUCUGCAAUUACUACCUCGAGUCCUUCAUUUAAGAACUCUCACUCAUCAGUAACUAUCAGUUCUGUUGACAGGUUAUCGGAAUGGUCUGAUGAAAGCUCAGUGAUGUCAUCAGUCAAGAAACAGCUCCUUGUGUGGCUAAGGUAUGGCCUUAAACCAGUGUCCAGCAUUUGAUUCCGUUUCUCCCAUUGCCUGAAGGCAGGGCUCUGCUUCGUCUUUCCUCCACGAGCGUUUGCACCACUGUGCCACUUGCAGAUCUCCUUAUCUCCUUGUUAUAAGUGGUUCAAAACCCACUUGUAUUCUCAGGAGAGCACUCACCAAGAAUUUCAGUUUGGACUCAGCAAGAUUUGGGUUUUGAUUUCUGGCUCUGUGACUUGUUUGAUGUGAGAAGGAAUAACUUAUUUAAUUUUGAGAAUCUUCAGUUAUCUUUUCUGUAAAAAGGUGAUAAUCAUACUUACCUCAGAGAGUAACGGAUGCAUUAAUAAAUGUCUUAGAGUGCUGGCCACGAUGCUGAGGCAUGGACAUUUGCCUUUUUUUCCCAUUAUAGGUUAAUCUCUUAUUUACUCACAUUUCAAUCUGUUAA